Molecule: non-coding RNA, 7421 nt
Organism: Cricetulus griseus (Chinese hamster)
Lineage: Eukaryota; Metazoa; Chordata; Mammalia; Rodentia; Cricetidae
Source: RefSeq, a predicted model, not a curated record
GUAUAUUACAUAUACAAAUAUAUAUAUGUGUGUACAUACAUAUAAUAUAUAUGAUGUAACAACAAUGUAAAAGGAGCCCAUGAAUUUGAAAGAGACCAGAGAGAGUCACAUGGGAGGUUAGGAGGGAGGAAAGGGAAGGGAUAAAUGAUGUAAUAUAUACUAAUCUUAGAACAUAAAAGAAAUAAUUUAACAAAACCAAGAACAACUAAAGAGAAGAAGGGCUUAUCUUGGCUCACAGUUUGAGGGUGGAGUCCCUCAUGGUGGAGAAGAUGUGAUAGCAGGGCCAUGAAGCAGCUAGUCAUAUUGUGUGAGCAGUUAGAAGAGGGCAGAGCUUCAUCCCAUGAAAGGGUACUGCCUACAGUUAUGGUGACUCCCACAUCAACGAACCCAGUCCAGAAACUCCCUCACAGACAUGCCUCAAAUUUUUGUCUUUUUAGGUGACUCUAAGUCCUGGGAAGUUUGCAAUCAAGUAUUAACCAUCCCUCCAUGCUGUCCUGAAACAGAAAACAGUAGAUAGGAUUUAACAUGACUGUUAGAUUCUAACCAAAGACUCCCCAGAUAGAGGUCACUUAGAGUCAGAUUGUUUUAAAACUAAACCAUGGUUAUAAAUGAGAGCUAAUGUAACGUGGACUCAUUGUGUGUUCUUAAAAAGUGGAGUAAUUUAAUGAAUCAUUUAGAAGAACCUUGGCAGGGUGAGCAAGUUGAACUGAAGGAAGCAAAAACAGCAGCAAUAGAAGUUAAAAAGACUUCAAUAUUGCAAAACCAAGGAGCUUUCUCUUUCUUGUCUGAAAGCUGAGCCAUACAGAAUAUUUUUUCUAACCCCUUCAUCAUAGCAUCCUGAGGUUAUCCAUAAGAUACCCAUCCACACUGGCUUUGGGCCAGAAGGAAUCUGUGCCUUUAAGUUGCCUUCCCAUCUCCCUUAGAGCUCUCUUCACUUGGACAAAAUGACAUCAACCCCUUUGCCUCUGAAUAGACUUGAGAUCGUCACCUACUCCCAGAGGACUUGUGUUCCCAAAGGCAGUCCAUGUUCACACAGCUGGGUCUGCAGUCCAUGAAAUGGCUGGGUGGCCUCCUGCCCUCAGGAUGUGAUUCUCUGAGGGCAUCUUCAUGACUUUGCUUCUUCCCUCUCCCAUGCUCCUCAACUAGCUGGAAGGGAGAACCAGAUCUGUGAAACAGGAAUAGCCUGAGACAUAGGAGAGUCUGGGCACCUGGGGGUGUUACACCAUUGUCUGGGAUAGGGAUCAGCUGCUGACCUUGGGGGGGGGAGGAACAGAGGAGGGGCUAUCAGGACCAAAUGUCCCUCCAGGACUGGAAACCCUUGUUACCCUUAAGAACACUUUCUUCAUCAUGUAAGGCUUUCUUGGGAAUCCCUGGGUUUCUGAAAGCUGGCUGACUAAGCUCUGUGUCUGAAACUUCACAGCUCAUCUUUCAUCAUGGCCAACAGUAAAAUCAUCAGUUAAGUUGUGGUCUCUGGGUACUUAGUUCCUUGGGCCAUUAGCCAAUCAAUAGGUUACAGGCUUUCAGUAGUUCCUAUGCGGAUUGGUGGAGCUUUACAAGCCAUUACCAGACAUUUGCAGACUAUUUGCAAUGUAAGAGCCUGGUGAUGGAAGUGGGGGGCACAACUAUCUAAAGGUAAGUACAGUAAAUGGAAUCUUGGCCCAUGAGGGCUCUGGUACCAGGACAGCAAAGACCAGACAGAUGAAUCAGGCUGGUCUGGAAAGUUCUCUCAUGAAGAAUUCAUUCCUUUUUCUCUGCACCUUCCAGUGAGUAGCAUGAGAUUUGAAGAGGCAUGUAAGGAAUGUAGGCUCAGGGCCAGCCAGGGCAGAACUUUUCUCUCCUCUCACAGCCAUGUUGCAUGGGGAGCAUCCUCUUUUCCCCAAAGCAGUCCCUGGACACCACUCACGUCUACUGACUCUGAGAAGUCCACAGCAUCCCACCAUGGAAGAAAGGGUUCAGUGUGGCUCAGUGCAGAGAUUCUUUUCCCAUGGUUGGGAGAUUAUCCUGAGUCUAUGAGCUACUUUUUAUCACCACCCCUGUUUGUUUUGAAGUUACAGAGUUCUUUAUAGGAUUCUGGAGGAGUCCCAUUUCAUUCUUCAAGAAAGUCUUGGACUAAAAGAUCUCUCUAUAGUAGAGAUCCAGCAAGUAACGUGGAAGCUGCCCAGGCUGGACUGUCCGUAGGAAAGCAAAUGUUCAUGCAGACCCAUGCCGUGCCACUGAACCAUUACAAAUCCACACAGGUUUCUCUGCAGUUUUGGAGACUGUGCUGGAACUCCGUCUGUAGACCAGACUGGCUUCGAAAUCACAGAGAUCUGCCUGCCUCUGCCUCCUGAGUGCUGGGAUUAAAGGCGUGUGCCACCAAUGCCCAGCUUAAUGAUGGUUCUUAACUGACAUCAAUGAACUUCUGUUAUACUGUGUGCUACUAAACUACCUCACACUUGGAACAUAUCCUUUUGCUGUCAAUGCUUUUGACACAUUGUACAUUGGUCAAUCUUUCACUGAAUUAUAAAGGCUGUUGAUGAUUACACUUUUUAUUAUACAACAUCAAAAAUAUGUUUGUUUAUAGGCUAGUCAAGUUAAUCAGCAAGGUCUUUUACAUAUUGGGAAACUCAUAGGUUCAUAAUGAGAACAUAGAUUUUUUUUUUUCCAAGACAUUGUUUCUAGGCUAAAAAGCUUGAAUCUUAGGCUGGUCUUUAGUUCAACAACAGAGCACUUACAUAGCACUUAUGAGGCUGGGAUUUCAUCCCCAGCAUUGUAAAAAGACAGAAAAAUUCAUUUUAUCAUUGCAACAAACAUUAUCAUUUGUUUUCUCUGAAUGCCCUGUUCAACACAGCUUGGUCCUGAAAAACUGACAAGGGACGAAGAGAAAAUAAAGAAAGGACAGGCACAUGUUCACAGAAAAACUGGGUGAGGUGUUUACUGAAGUGGUACCCACUAGCACAGCACAAUGGGGAGGAGUUAGCCAGUCUCAGUAGGAGGUCCCUGUGGGUGAGCAGUCUCCAGCUGUAUACACCAAGGAUGAAGAAGAAGUUGGAGUAUUUCAGCAAAAAGAUCAACCAUUAGCAAACACUGUAGUUGUUUGCUUUUGUCAUUCAGAAACUUUCCCUAUUUCCUAUGGGCCUAAGGCAUUGGUUCUUGUCCUGACUGUAGCCUUGUCCACAACACACAUUUGCUCUGGAUUUAAUCUGCUCUUUGCACAUUUACUCAGAGCUUCCUGAGCACCCUAUUCUAUACUUGAAGUGACAGACUGAUUUUGUUCUGGUUUUGUAAGAUCCCUGUUAAAUAUUGCAAUUGGGAUAACUAUAGACUUGUCAAACAAAAAUGGGCAACGAACAGCAAGCAAAUAAGCAGCUCUCUUCCACGGCCUCUGCCUCAGCUCCGGUCUCCAGCCUCCAGCCUCAAGCACUGUUUGAGUUCCUGCCUUGACUUCCCUCCUGAGGACUGUGAUUUAGCAUAUGUAAGCUACAUAAACCCUUUCAUCCCCAAGUUGCUUUUAGCCAUGGUGUUUCAUUAAACCCCAAACUAUAUCAAAGCAUAAAACCCCCUGCAUUAGUUUUCUUAGUGUGCCAGAUUUAUUCACAGUUAAUUUGCAUCACAGAAUAAGAAAUGCAAAUAAUAUCACAAUAUUAAAUUUGACCUUGAAAACCCUCCUAAUGGGUCCCAGAAAUCUCCAAGGAUCUGCACAUCACAGUUUGAAACCCAGGACUCUGGAAAAAUCUGGAGACUUGCUGCCUAGACAAAUAGAUACUUGACAUGUGGCUUUGACCUCAGAGUCUCCUACCUGUGGAGAGGCCACUGUUUCCUGGGUCACAGCCUUUUCCUAGACCUGAAAGUCUUGCUGAUCUUGUGGGAAGAUGAUGCAUAUAAAAAUACCCCCAGGAAAAGAUCUUCUUCAGGGCAGCACCUAAAUUUUCAGAUGGUGUAGAUGUCAGAGAGUCACCGGAUCUUCAUAGGAAACCUAUAACACUCAGCAAUAACUGGUAACUGGAAGUUUAUUGGAAACAAUUCCUUAGACAUUUUAACAGACAUUAAAGUGCAUACUUUAAUGAAAACAUGCCAUUUCAUUGCCUAGAGAAUCCAUGAGGAUAAACACUUCUCAGGGUCAAAGCAGAGCAAGGCGUCCGCUCAAUGACUAAAUAGUGGUUGACUAGUUGAUUAAUACCAAAGUAUUUUAAAUUCCUCACGACUUAACACAGAGAUAAACCGGACUUGUUUAGACUUCUUCAGUCUUCAAUUUUGAGGCAUGCCUCACACACAUUUGGAGAUGUAAGGAGCCUCCCCCUACCCUCCCUGACUUCAGUACUUAUCAACCCGGAAGUCACACACAGCUAAGGAGCAGCAGAAAUGGUGUCUAAGGUUUGUCUGAUAGAUCAGGGAGGAGUUCUAGAAGCUUUACACAUACAAACUUUGUUUCUCUAAUCAGAAGAGUCAUAGUCAUUUCAUUUUUGAGAUGUUUCUGUGUAAAUUCAGAAAACCAGUGCACAGACAGCUCUUCCAUCUGUCAUCUCUGCUUCCUUUACCCAGCUUGACCAAGGUAGUGACUAGUGGAGUCACCCUUGUCGUUCUCUUCUAUAACUUACUGCUUGUUACUCAGCAUUAGAGUGUCUUGAUAGCCAGUCUUCCUUUCCUCCUAAGGCAGAACUUGCCUCAUGCUCCCUUUUGAUCCCAUGUCCCCAUAACUACCAUGAGUCUUUUGGCUGCAACACUGACUUCUGUCCUUUUGUAGCUUUUAUGGAGUCCUUAUUCUUGCUCUGUCCUGUCUGCACUAGCUGCUAGGACACCCUUCUGUAGUAAGCUCGUGUUUCUCUUACACUGGCUGGGCUUGCUUCUGUGUUCCUUCUCUAUUCAUAUACCCUAAUGUUCCCAUCGACAUUCUUCUCUUGUCCAACCUUAUUCUCACUGAAAACCAGCUUCUCAUUAAGCCUCUUCUUGUGACUUCUCAGUCUUCCUGUUUUUCUAAGUUCCUCCAACACAGUGAACCGUGCCACUCAAUUUAGCAACUGACUCAAUACAGUUGUGAAUCGUUUCAGGCGGGUCCAUCUGUAUGAUUCAUGUCUUCCACUGUAAGAUAAGCCUUCUAAAGACAGAAUGCUUAUUUUUGGCUUCCCUGUAUUUUGUGACUAGAGAAAAGUUUAGGAGAGAAUAUAUGAUUCAAGUAGGAUCUGUUGACAUGGCUGUGAAGCGCAAUGGCCUUUGCAGCCAGACCAGUCCCUCAUAGAGUUGUGAUGAUUAUAUCAGUUACUGUAUGAAACCCUCCAAGCAAUACAAGCACGUAGUAAGCCUCCUGCUAUCUAUCUACUCACAGUGCAGGUAAAACCUUGGAGUCUCAGUUUUCUUGCCUGCAAAAUGGAGGGGUUAAUGCUUGACAGAGUGGCUAUAAAGAUUAAAUGUAAAAAAAAAAAUAUGUAAAGCCUCUUUCUUACAUACUGUUUAACAAUGACUAGAUCCAAUAGGUUGUAACAAUGUUUCUUAUUAAUGAACUCUGGGGAAAAAAGAGGCAAGAUUCAGUUCUGUAAACCACUUGUGCUCACCAAAAGAAGCUGUGAGCCUAGGGAGAGAGGAAGAACAGACUUAGCAUCUUCCCAGCUUACAUGGUGUAGUGUUGAGCUAUCUGGGGGAGAUUUACUUUAUGAGAAGAAAAAAGCCUGUUUAGAUGGAAGCAGUGUAUAUGUAGGGGCCUAUAAAAAUGGCUCUGCUUCAUCUUGACUUAAGGUCAGAAAGUUCAAACCCAAUAUUACUCUUUCGAGGUUAAACAACAAAAAUGUUUGGCCCGACGUGUGGCUAAACUAAUGUGUGUCUUACCUUCACAAAUGGAUAUUUGGCCUAAGAAGUAACUAAUGGAUGUCUUACUUUAACAACAGGAUAUUUAGUUUAACAUGUGGCUAUUGUGUGUCUUGCCUUGACAACAGGAUAUUUGGCUUAGGGUGUUUUGGGUAUUGAGAAGGUAAUUAUGCUUGCUUGUUCUUUGUAUCUUGGUGAGGCAGUCUUUUUGCCUUCCCCCACUUUUGAUUGGGCUAUAUAAGGACUGUGAGUAAUAAACUUGGAACUUUUUCCCCAGUAUUCAUUGGAGUGCCCUUCCAACUCUAUCCUGUGUCUCUGCCUUUUCUUUAGUAUCAAUAAUUUUUCUACCUGCUAUUUCUUAAUCCACAUGCUUUCCUCCAAGCACGAACUGGACGAAUAAGCCAGGCUGGACCCAGUUGUUGUUGUCUCCUGGACUCCGGAUAUUACACAUAUAAUGGUUCAACUCUAGAUCCAACAAAUACCCCAUUGUAGAGGUCACUGUCACUCACGAACAAUGGCUCAGGGAUGGGAAUCAGGCCUUUGUUCUUCUCAGUGUGAUUCUCUAAGUAAAAGCACACAGAAUGGACCUGCCAAUGUUGUGGCAACCUAGAUACAAAGAGUCUCAGAGACCUUCAGGUGACAUAUUACUAAUAGACUUCUAAUGCUUACCAACCACACUCUGGAAGCUUCACAGCUAAUCCCUCUAUGGGACAGCCACCAUUAUCUAGUAGUGUGGUCUCUGUCUGUUCCUCUAGAUCCAUCCUGUGCCCUUCUGUGCUCUACUUUGCAUCAUGGGUAGCUGGCUGUAAUGGACAACUGCAGCUCUCCUUCCUUAUACUAGAUUCCAGUAGGAUUAAACUAUGGUCAAGAGAUGGCUACUCGCAGGAAACACCAGCUUCCUAGAACAGGCAGAACAGCAUCAGGGCUGAGAGAUAGCAGUAGCAGUGUUCCCCCGACAGAAGACACAGAUGACUAUCACUGGCAUACCCACCCCUUCACAGACAAGUCCAUCAUUAUCCUCCAUUGUAGGAAUGCCCCAUGAGCCUAGGAGCAAUACUGGCUAUUUUAUAUCACCAGUUCUGGUGUAGGCUAUUGCUCAUUGGUUUCCCCUUCCCUGUCCACAGUAGUGACAGUUUCUUUAUGACAGACUCUUUAAUCUAAGGAUACAAGUGCAUUGUGCUGAGAUCUUGCCUGUUGUGAUUUUUACAGACAACAGCACUGGACCCUAGAAGAAUCACUCCAAGAAAGUGGAGUGGAGUUGGGUCUCAAACCAGACAUGCAAGCAUCCUGGGGGUGCUUAGCUUUGCUUCUUUCUGCCAAUGCAGAUUAUGGGGAUAACUCAGAUGGGAUCCAGAGAACUGCAGGAAUGUAACUAUAUGCUUUCACACCUGCCUGAUGACCUCCAUGGGUGGUUGUGGCCAAUGCUCAUUACUGUUGCCCAGGCUGAGUUUGGAUGUAGUAACUCUGCUAAUUUCUUCCUUCUGUGUAAAGAAAGUAUAAACCCAGGCCAGUAGGAUGCCUCAGAAGGAGGAGCUCAUGCUGUGCAAACCUGAUAACUUGAGUUCUAGUCAACUCCCACAGUGAAAGGAGAGAACCAACUCCUGAAAGUUGUCCUCCAAUCUACACACACACACACACACACA